Molecule: ribosomal RNA, 321 nt
Filed under: uncultured Veillonellaceae bacterium
Lineage: Bacteria; Bacillati; Bacillota; Negativicutes; Veillonellales; Veillonellaceae
Description: bacterial SSU rRNA
Rfam family: Bacterial small subunit ribosomal RNA
Source: RNAcentral
AGUAGUUUGAUCAUGGCUCAGGACGAACGCUGGCGGCGUGCUUAACACAUGCAAGUCGAACGGGGUAGCAAUACCCAGUGGCAAACGGGUGAGUAACGCGUAGGCAAUCUGCCGCAAAGUUGGGGACAACAGCUCGAAAGGGUUGCUAAUACCGAAUGUUAUAACUUUUUCGCAUGGAGAGGUUAUUAAAGAUUUAUCGCUUUGCGAGGAGCCUGCGUCCGAUUAGGUAGUUGGUAAGGUAACGGCUUACCAAGCCGACGAUCGGUAACCGGUCUGAGAGGAUGAACGGUCACAUUGGAACUGAGACACGGUCCAGACUCC